CCCCAGUGCAACUUGAGGCCAUAAAAGCCUCCAAGUAUAGCUGAGCCAUGUGUCUCACCACACAAAGAGCCACACAAGGGAUCUGGUAUGUAUAAGCUUGAUUUACUUGUCAAAAACAUGUAUGCACUUAAAAAUGCCAACUAGCGUAUCAUAUCUUUAAGCAGUUGUGCCAGCUACAGUUCUAGAGGACUGGCUAAUAUUUUUUGGAAUACUUAUGCCAUAUAGUACACCAGUUUAAUAAUAUGUUUUUACAGUUCAGUGCUGAAAACAGGGAAACUGUCCCUAGAAGUGUGGCUAGAUGAAGGCCAAUUUCUCUGUGCUCUUCAUGUGGUACGUGGUAUGGUGCAUUCUGCUUGAAUUUCCAGAACUAUGUCUUGAUUUCUCUGCUAAAUUAAAAGAGAGAUGCACCACACUAUUGUUUGGUCAAAUGAAGUGAUCUGUACAAGCUGGCAGGGGAAAGACCAUCUUAAUUCAUGUGUGUCUAUGGUAUUCAUAGAGAAGAUUUGGAAUAUGAUAGUUCGCUGUGAUGAUAGUAUUCUUCAUGAUUAAUUUUAUUGAAGUGCAACAUGGAAGGAGAAAGAAGAAUUCAAAGCAACAUCUACUUCAGUCACAGCGUUCUGCUGCUCAGUCCCAGUAAAGUUAGGAUGACUGCAGGCCUGUUCUACAGGAUGGGAAUUUGAGCUAACAGUCACAGAAAGUAAGACAUUGUGUCUAUCUUGUGACUUUCAGUACAAGUAACAUUGAAUAUUUUGUUUUUUAGUUAAUACUAGUAAAAGUCAACCCCAACUGCUCAGUGAACUGAACUGUGAAAUAAGAGUGCCAAGGAAUAUCGUAAUCAGACACUGACUCAAUAGAGCUACUUUAAAAAAGGAAGGAAAGUGUGUCAGGGAAAUUCACUGAUUGAGUGUUCCCUCUAAGAGGACUAUAAAUAUUCCAUAUACUUUAAAAAUUAUUUUGUUUAGUGAAAUAUUUGAAAAGUGUGAAGUAUCUCUAUCAGAAGCAGUGGAGUUUUUUUUAAAUGCAAAAUACAACAUUUGAAGUGUGGUGGAUUAGAGAACGAGUUUAUGUACUUGAUAACAGUGACUAAUGUGGAAGUGAGUGACCAUUUGAUAAAGUAGCUAUAGACCUCUGCCAGCAAAAAUGCCCAAAAUGCUGUCAGGCUUCCAAUCAUGUUGUUCAGAAGCGGAAAUCAGCCCCUGACUGAAAGCUGCAUGUAGCACAUAUUGCUAUGAAAAUACCAUUAACAUUAACAAG
This 1254-nucleotide long non-coding RNA is filed under the name Coturnix japonica (Japanese quail). RNAcentral's name for it is "lncRNA (ENSCJPG00005017180.1)". Lineage: Eukaryota; Metazoa; Chordata; Aves; Galliformes; Phasianidae. The record is from RNAcentral.